This is an RNA transcript of Zea mays, 9285 nucleotides long. It is a transcript of the gene named seryl-tRNA synthetase, with no coding region annotated. NCBI's taxonomy places the organism in Eukaryota, Viridiplantae, Streptophyta, Magnoliopsida, Poales, Poaceae. The transcript is spliced from 11 exons. The record is from RefSeq and is marked validated.
GAAAAAAGUAUGCUACACUAGAACCAAAAGUCCAUACGGCCCGGGGCCCGGGCGUCCCCAAAAACCUCACCCCUCUCUUAUCCGCCCCAACGGCCGCCCGCCGGCCACCACCUCACCGGCGAGAUGCUGACCUGCGGCCGCUUUAUCUCCUCCUCCGCUGCUACCAGCACCGCAUCCUUUUUCCCGUUUCGGACUCUCACUCGCUCCCUCGUUCGCCGCCCCGCUCCCCACCUCCUCUCCUCUGCCUCCGCCGCCGCCGCCACCGCCGUGGAACUCGACACCAAUGGAGACGGUAGUGCGGGAGGUGGUGCCGGUGUGGUGAGGCCGCAGUGGAAGGCCGCGAUUGAUUUCAAAUGGAUCCGAGACAACCGGGAUGCCGUCGCCGACAACAUCCGGACCCGGAACUCUACCGCCAAUCUGGACCUCGUCUUCGAGCUCUACGAUCAGUACCUCACACUGCAGAAGGUCUGGGGCUUGCCAAUGCCAGAGCUUUUUGUUGUAGCUGUUCGUGCUGUCUGACUGUGCUGCGCUAGAUUCGUUGAUGGAUAAGCUUGCGUUGUUGAGGGUCAGGUUCUAAUGCCUGGAUUUUGACUUGGCUGGCCGAGGGAUAUGUACUAGAUGGCAGAUGCGGACCUAGAACAAAAAUCCGAGGAGAGGCACCCUUCUAGUUCAUAAAGCCCGAGUACCAUGGCUAUACUAACAAACAAUCAGUGAAUCAGAUAUCAUAUAGGAUAACAGUUCCAUAUCAGUAUCACAGUUAAUUGAAUUUCUAAAGAUGAUCUUUUUUUUAUCGAACGCGCAGGAGAAUUGCACAUCUUAUAUAUUAGAGAGGAAUAAAAACCUUACAAAAAGGAGAUGUUGCUGAGCAAGUCUCCCAAGGACCCUACAUAAACCCGAAGGGAAUUACAAACUGGUACCGUAACUUGACCCAACCUCGCCCAGAGCUACAACUAAGCCAAGGCUCUCAAGCUCCUGCUAUUGCCCAGCUAACACACUCAUCUGAAAAACAUCUAAAAAUUCUAGAUAAGGAUGGAGACUCCCCAUGAAACACUGCUCUGUUUCUCUGAAGCCAUAGGCACCAAGCUCCCAGAAUGAUCAAAGAGUUAAGCCCCUUUUUCCUGGUCUUGAUAACCCUUAGGCUCACCUUUCCCCACCAGUCUGCAAAAGACUCCUCAUCAGCUGCCGGAGUGAGGUGCCCCAAGCCAAAAACAGCAAGAACUUUGUGCCAAAAUUGCCGGGCAAAAAUGCACGCAGUAAGGAGGUGCUGAAUUGUCUCUUGGGCUUGAUCACACAUGGGCAUACAUCUGGGUGUGACACCCCCCUCUUCUGCAACCUGUCAGCUGUCCAACACUUGUUCCUUAUCGCCAACCAAGGGAAAAACUUACAUUUAGAAGGGGCCCAGGUCUUCCAUAAUCUCUCCCAUGGCUCAAAAACAGUAGAGCCGAAGAAUAAGACAUUGUAACAGGAUUUAGAAGAAAACAGCCCCGAUGCCUCAUGUCUCCAAACAUGGUGGUCUUCCUCCUGAGAAAGCUGCACCUCACCUAAAGCAUCCCAUAAGAGAAGAAAUUGUUGAAUUCCAACCAAAGAAAUGGGGGGGGGGUUGAUAUUAGCUAUCCAUUGCCUGUUCUCAAGGGCCUGUUCUGCUGUCAUAGAGGUAAGAGCUCUUUUAUCAACCUUGGACACCACUUCUGGAGCAAGAUCUCUGAUGGAGCAUCCAUUUAGCCAUUUAUCUGUCCAGAAAAAGGUAUUAGAGCCAUUUCCCACAUGAGAAAUUAGAGAGGCUGCAAAAAGGGAAAAAUGAACACAAUAAAAUAUAACGCUACUGUCUACUUUUUUUAUAGGAAAAAAUGAAAGAUUUCUUUGCAUCAUUUUUCCGAAACAGCAUACCCUGAAGGAGUGCACAAACAUGUUACCAAUUAACGAUGGAAUCCAAUAAGGACUUAUGUUUAGGCAAUCUUGUAGCAUGCAGGUAUGGGAUUUAACUUGAACUCACUACAUUAUUUAUCUAAUAUCACUAAUUUCUUUUCUAGUAUUUUCUCAUGCUUACCUGCAAAAUUAUUGGAAUCAUAUAGACUCAGGAAUGCACAAACCACAAAGCACACCUAAAAUUGAUGGUUGUCUAUUGGCCUAGAUAACAUGAGCAUGAAAAUUUGAUACUAAUUUGGCAAAACCUUAAAACAAUUAAACAAGUUGCCUAUGCUUCACUUGCAACCAAAGUUGAAUUCCGAUGUAUUUGUUGCUGCACAUGGUGCUGCUUGUCCUUGGUGCUUUGGUGACGCGGCACAGGGUGGUGGCAUGACAGACAACUGCGGCUUGGUGUGGUAGGGUAGCAGACUAAAUCAGGAGAAGAGGUUGAGCUGAGUGAGGGCACCCUCCGUGGGCUGAGUCGAGGCACUGAUGAUGAAACUUUGGGCUGUAUAACUAAUUUAUGUAAGUUGAGUGGUGGCCCAGGCCCAAACUUUGGGUCUGCUCCUGCUAGAUGGUUGCUCUUUGCUAGGAUUUUCAUCUGAGCUUAUAUUAGAACUGCAAUUUUAGAUUUCCUACAAUAUGAUUGAUGAACUAGCCACGGUUUAACUCAUUUAGUAGUGUCUUGUCGGCAUGGCUGUUGUGUCUUCUGUAUUUGUCUUGGCAACAAAACUUAGAAACAGAACUCAAAAGGCUGAGCAUGGAUCAGGAUAGAAUAUUUCUAAUAGGACUUACCUUUUUUCUUUAGGACAUUUAACAGUUCCUUUAUCCAUUGAAUUUCCAUUCAAUCAGAUGCAAGCAGAUCCAAUGCUCACCAAAAAAUGGCUUUACAUUUUUAGAAAUCAAUUGUCAGUAAAAGUCAAAUCUAGGAAUUCAUACAUACACUGUACUUUUAUGGAGCUCUCUUUGAGGUAUACCGUAUUUUGCAUUACAUCAUGCAAUUAAUAUAUAGUUUCAAUUUUUUUUUCUCAAAUAUGCAGGAGAGCUGCGUAUCAUUAUAUUAAUAGGAGAAGAAAAAGGGCUAGAGCCCAGACAUAAAACAAGAAAACACACCCAAAACACACACCCUUGAACACACUCCUACACAAGCACCCAGGACACUUACAACCUUCUUGUUAAGGCCCAUAAGGCCCAUAUAUUAUUGUCUGCCUAUAUAUAUGCUACAGUACCCGAGGGGGUGAUCAUUCCGCCUAAUCAAGGUUAGUAACAUGGUAUCAGAGGAGGUCACGAUUAGGGUUUCUUAGAUUUUUUUUUAGCCACCAUCGUCUCCUCCCGGCCGCCGUCGCGGUCUUCCUUCGCCGCCGUCGCGGCCUUCCUUCGCCGCCGUCGCGGCCUUCCUUCGCCGCCGUCGCGGCCCUUCCUCCACCUGCGCCGCCCCUGUUCACAUCCGCCUCCGCGGAUCCCGUCUGCCCCGUCCGCCGUCGCGCAGAUCCAGCUGCUGCCCGUCCGCCGUCGCGGAAGCAGCCCCUUCCCGCCUCUGCCGCCGGUGGAUCUGGGCGGACCCGGGCGGACCCGCCCCUUCAUUCCUCUACCGCGGGCGUCCCUGGGCAGAUCCCGCCUGAGCUGCGCCCAGCCGCGAUUCCCUCUGCCGCGGGCGCCUCUGCCACGGGCGGAUCUGGGCGGACCCGCCCCUUCCUUCCUCUGCUGCGGGUGCCUCUGCCGCGGGCUUGUGCUGCGCCCAUCCGCGCCCUGCCCGCGUGAGCUGCGCCCAGCCGCGGUUUCCUCCAUCUCCGGCAGCCGUCAUCCGCCGUCCGCACCUGCCUCCGCCUGCUGCACGCCACAAACAGUUGCUGCAGAGAAGAUUUGUGCAACUGCCAUCGACCCGAUAAUCACGCCGCCGAUCUGCGCCACCGUCUGCUGCGCCCUGCCUCGUCGCCAUCAGACUGUCCAACUCGUCUUCCACGACCAGGAACUCCGUCAACUCGUCCAACUUUGGCUACUGUCAGCUGCGGUUCCUCCGGUUUGUUUGGUUUCCGGUCUCCUGUUCUUCCUGAUUUUCAUUGAAUUCAAUAUGGCGACAAAUGCUAUUGUGGUCAAUAUCACUCUUGAUGGCCAAAAUUAUCCAGAGUGGGCUUUCUGUGUUGAGACUGCACUCAGGGGACAUGGAUUACUCUUUCAUUUGACUGAUGCAGCACCAGUACUUGCGGAUGAUCGUCGCAAUGCUGCUGAUAUCAAAACAUGGCAGCUUAAUGAUGGUAAAGUGAUGGCUGCUAUGGUGAACAGUGUCAAACCGUCUAUGAUUAUGAGUUUGUCUAAAUUUAAAACUGCUAAAGCCAUCUGGUCUCAUUUGAAGGAGCGUUUUGUUCAGGACAGUGGUGCUCUAUUACACACUCUCAUGCAGCAGACACAUGUUAUUGAGCAAAAUGAUAUGAGUAUUGAUGAGUACUACUCAGCCUUUGAUCGUCUGAUGAGUGCUUUGACAUCUAUGGUGCCUGCUUGUACUGCUGAUCCGUGUCCGGCUCAUAAGUUUAUUGAGAAGUUCUUCACUUACAGAUUUGUUAUGGGCGUUCGGGCCGAGUUUGAUUCUCUUCGUGCUCGUUUACUUCAGGGUUCUGACACUCUCACAAUGGCUAAGGCGUUGUCUGAUUUACUUGCUGAAGAGACUCGUCUUAAUUCUCUGUCUUCUAUUGGUACUAAUACUCACAGUGUAUUGGCUGCUGCCCAGAAACCUAAGAAUGUUUUUAAGCCUUGUGAUCAUUGUGGCAAGACCAAUCAUCGAUCUGAGCUUUGCUUUGUAAAGUUCCCUGAGAAGUUGACUGAUUUCCGUGCACGACGUGCUGCUCGUGGCCGUGGUUCAGGACCAUCUACUAGAGGCUCAGUUGCUGUUGCUGCCACUUCGUCCGCUUGUACUUCAGAGUCGGCCUGGGUACUUGAUUCAGGAGCCUCCUUUCAUGUCACAUCUGAUCAGUCAAAGUUGGCUUCUACUACACCUGUCACAAAUGGUGCUUCAGUGCAGACAGCUGAUGGACCUUCGCACAGGGGAAGUGAUUGGGACUGGCUGUCGCCGUAGAGCUGCUCCUCGCCUCUACAUCUUGGACUCUUUGCGGCUUCCUUCCUUGGCUACAUCUUCGGCUCAUGUGCUUUCAGCUACCCUUGCUUCUGUUGCGUCUUUUGCCCAGUGGCAUCAUCGUCUAGGUCAUUUGUGUGGAUCUAGAUUGUCUACUCUAAUAAAGUCAGGUUGCUUAGGUCAUACUUCGGUUGAGUCUGAUUUUCAUUGUAAGGGUUGUCAUCUUGGAAAACAAAUACAACUUCCAUAUUUUACUAGUGAUUCUCAUUCUGUUGAACCCUUUGAUUUGGUUCACUCUGAUAUUUGGGGUCCUGCACCUUUUGUGUCAAAAGGUGGAUAUAGAUACUAUGUCAUUUUUAUUGAUGAUCAUUCUCGCUACACUUGGAUUUAUUUCAUGAAACGCCGCUCUGAGCUGAUUUCUAUUUAUAAAACCUUUGCUCGCAUGAUUCACACUCAAUUUUCCACUCAUAUUAAAACCUUUCGUUCUGAUUCUGGUGGUGAAUAUUUAUCUGAUACUUUCCGCCAGUUUUUGACUUCAGAGGGUACUCUUGCUCAGCUUUCUUGCCCUGGUGCUCAUGCACAGAACGGUGUGGCUGAACGCAAACACCGUCACAUUAUAGAAACUGCUCGCACUUUGUUGAUAUCUUCUUUUGUCCCUUCACAUUUUUGGGGUGAAGCAGUUUCUACUGCGGUUUACCUCAUCAAUAGACAACCAUCAUCCAAACUCUCUGGCAAAACGCCUGGUGAAGUUCUUUUCGGAACUCCUCCACGAUAUGACCACCUUCGAGUUUUUGGAUGUAUGUGUUAUGUACUAUUAUCACCUCGUGAACGUACUAAAUUGACUGCUCAAUCCGUUGAGUGUGUUUUUCUUGGAUACAGCCCUGAACAUAAAGGUUAUCGAUGUUAUGAUCCAUCUUCUCGUCGCAUGCGUAUUUCUCGAGAUGUGAGCUUCAAUGAAAAUCGUCCCUUCUUUUACAACUCUUCCACUCAUUCUUCUUUUUAUUCCACAGAGUCUACCUCCUUCAUGAGCCUUCCUCCCAUUUCUGAAACUUCAUCCGUAUCACCACCUACUGUUUCUACCCCAGAUGUCCUUAUUCCCAUCACACCACCUUCCACUUUCACACCAUCUCCGUCUUACUCUUCCAAACCACCUGUCACUCAGACUUACAUUCGUCGUCCUCGCUCUACUCCCACGGCCAGUCCUGAUGAUGAUCCUGUUGCUGAUACUUGUACUAACAAUGAUGACUCUCCUGUUGUUUUUAAUCAGGGGUAUCAUCUUCGUGACCGUGGCACUAUUGCAGCUCCCGAACGUUAUGGGUUUUCCCGUGCUGGUGCAGUCAUUGCUGAACCAUCAUCUUAUAAAGAGGCUUCUGGUAUACCUGAGUGGCAGCUUGCUAUGACUGAUGAAUUAAAUGCCCUUCAUCGCACAUGUACAUGGGAUGUUGUUCCGUUACCUGCUGGUGCUGUACCUAUCACGUGCAAAUGGGUCUUCAAGGUUAAAACCAAAUCUGAUGGGUCUAUUGAGCGAUAUAAAGCUCGUCUUGUGGCCAGAGGUUUUCAACAGACACAGGGUAUUGAUUAUGAUGAGACUUUUGCACCUGUGGCCCAUCUGACUACUGUCCGAGCUUUACUUGCUGUUGCAGCCUCAUCUUCUUGGACUAUCUCUCAGAUGGAUGUCAAAAAUGCUUUUCUUCAUGGUGAUUUACAUGAGGAAGUCUAUAUGCAUCCACCUCCUGGGAUCGAGGUUCCAUCAGGACAUGUAUGUCGUCUCCGUCGAGCCUUGUAUGGUCUCAAACAAGCUCCUCGUGCUUGGUUUGAGAGAUUUGUUUCUGUCAUCAAGGCUUGUGGUUUCUAUUCUAGUGAUCAUGAUCCUGCAUUGUUCAUUCAUGUUUCUUCACGAGGACGCACGUUGCUAUUACUAUAUGUUGAUGACAUGUUGAUUACAGGCAAUGAUCCAGACCAUAUUGCUCAUGUGAAGGCGUCUCUGAGUAAGGAAUUUCAAAUGUCUGACUUGGGGGCACUCAGUUAUUUCUUGGGUAUUGAGGUUUUGCAGACUCAAAAUGGUAUUUAUCUUUCUCAGGCCAAGUACAUACAAGACCUUCUUGAUCGUUCUGGUCUUAGUGAUACUCGCACUGUUGCCACGCCUAUGGAUCUUCACUUAUCUCUUCGUCCGACUGAUGGGACACCUUUGGAGGAUCCAUCUCGAUAUAGACAUCUUGUUGGCAGCUUGGUUUACCUUACUGUCACCAGGCCAGAUAUUGCUCAUGCGGUUCAGAUCUUGAGUCAGUUUGUCUCUGCUCCUACAUCAGUUCAUUAUGGGCACUUACUUCGUGUGCUUAGAUAUUUACGGGGGACAAAAACACAAUGUUUAUUUUAUGACUCAAAUUCCCCUCUUCAGCUUCAUGCUUACUCUGAUGCUACCUGGGCCAGUGAUCCUACAGAUCGUCGCUCCAUCACUGGUUAUUGUAUUCUUCUUGGAUCAUCCCCUGUUGCUUGGAAAUCCAAGAAGCAAGCUGCUGUAUCUAGAUCUAGUACUGAAGCAGAACUUCGAGCCCUGGCUACUACUACUGCUGAGAUUAUCUGGAUUCGUUGGCUCUUGGCUGAUUUAGGCGUUUCUUGUGACUCGCCUACACUUCUUCGCUGUGACAGUACUGGAGCUAUACAAAUUUGUCAUGAUCCAGUGAAGCGUGAACUCACAAAACACAUUGGUGUUGAUGUCUCAUUCACUAGAUCUCAUUGUCAUCAGAAGACCAUUGAUCUUCAAUAUGUGCCCUCAGAAUUACAGCUUGCGGAUUUCUUCACAAAAGCACAAACUAGGGCACAACAUCAGUUUCAUCUACUCAAACUCAAUGCUUCAAAUCCUCCACUUCCGCCUUGAGUUUGACAGGGGGUGUUAAGGCCCAUAAGGCCCAUAUAUUAUUGUCUGCCUAUAUAUAUGCUACAGUACCCGAGGGGGUGAUCAUUCCGCCUAAUCAAGAUGGCAGGAGGUUGAAAGGCUCCGAGCUGAAAGAAAUGCGGUUGCCAACAAGAUGAAAGGGAAACUAGACCCAUCUGUUCGCCAAGCCCUUGUUGAAGAAGGUAAGAACCUGAAAGAGGGACUUAUAGCACUCGAGGAGGAUCUUGUUCAGCUGACAGAUAAGCUUCAACUUGAAGCUCAAAGUAUUCCUAACACUACCCAUCCAGAUGUUCCUGUUGGGGGUGAGGAAAGCUCUGUCCUCAGGAAAGAGGUAGGCAGUCAGAGGAGCUUCAAUUUUGCAAUCAAAGAUCAUCUUCAGCUGGGGAAGGAACUUGAUUUGUUUGACUUUGAUGCAGCAGCCGAGGUCAGUGGUUCGAAGUUCUACUACUUAAAGAAUGAAGCUGUUUUGUUGGAGAUGGCCCUAGUAAACUGGGCUAUUUCAGAGGUCUCCAAGAAGGGUUUCACACCACUCAUAACUCCAGAGAUCGUAAGAUCAUCUGUUGUUGAGAAAUGUGGCUUUCAGCCAAGGGCCAAAAACACUCAGGUAUACUCAAUUGAGGACAGUGAUCAGUGUCUCAUAGGCACAGCGGAAAUUCCUGUUGGAGGCAUCCACAUGGACUCAAUACUUGCCGAAUCCGCUUUGCCUUUAAAAUAUGUAGCAUAUUCACACUGUUUUCGCACAGAAGCAGGUGCAGCAGGUGCUGCCACUAGGGGCCUCUAUCGGGUACAUCAAUUUAGCAAGGUUGAGAUGUUCAUAUUCUGUCGGCCAGAGGAGAGUGGAAAAUGGCAUGAAGAACUUAUUACAAUUGAAGAGGAUCUUUAUGCAUCACUUGGACUUCAUUUCAAAACUCUGGACAUGGCAACUGGGGAUCUGGGUGCACCAGCCUACCGGAAAUUUGAUAUCGAGGCGUGGAUGCCCGGCCUAGAGCGUUAUGGUGAGAUCUCCAGUGCAUCAAAUUGUACCGACUACCAAAGUAGGCGACUAGGCAUCCGUUACCGCCCAUCACCCUCGGAGCCUCCAUCAACGAGCACCAAGAAAGGGAAGGGAGCUGCCUCAGGCCCUACGCAGUUCGUCCACACGCUCAACGCUACAGCAGUGGCGGUGCCUCGUCUGAUAGUUUGCAUUCUAGAGAAUUUUCAGCAGGGCGAUGGGUCGAUUGUGGUUCCAGAGCCACUAAGACCCUAUAUGGGUGGACUAGAGUUGCUCUCCCCAAAAUUCAAGUGACCCUCUACGGUCACCCGCUGUUGUGCUUGUGUGGACUUAGAACUGUCUGGCUGAAGUACAAGUUAAAGGAAGGUCAUUUCUCACUACAAAUAUACACUACUGAGUUUCGUGAUUGGGGCUUCUGUUUCAUAA